This is a long non-coding RNA of Hippopotamus amphibius kiboko, 1368 nucleotides long. RefSeq lists it as uncharacterized. The record is from RefSeq and is a predicted model, not a curated record. Lineage: Eukaryota; Metazoa; Chordata; Mammalia; Artiodactyla; Hippopotamidae. The transcript is spliced from 3 exons.
UCUUCGUGUGGGCGGGGAACCAGCCGAAGUGGGAAUCCGGCCUGGAUCCGGGGCCGGGGGCGGAGCCGAGGGGCGGUCGUUUGGCCGGCACACGAGACCCGCGCCGCCUGAGGGCGCGGCGUCUCCGCUGGAGGGUUCUGGCCCCGCUCCCGCGCGGGGAGCUUGGGGGAGGUGGUGGGGUGCCGGGCUGGCCCGCAGAGGGCAGACUGCUGUGUGUGGGGCGGCGUCCGGGUAACCCCAGGUUGGCCGCGGCGGGGAGGGUCGUCAGCUGUGCAGGUCUCGGUUCUGUCAGAUUACCCCACGCAGAUUUGGGGUUAGAUGCCACGUGACCAACAAGGGCAGACGCUCCUCCCCGUAGGCGUCCACUCUGGAGAAGUGAGCUUGGGCGUUUGCUUGCGGAGCAGGACCCGAGCGGGGAGCAGUCCUCCGGUCCAGCAAGUUGAGUCCGUUGAGUGCUGUCUCUGCUCGAGGAACUUGGCUGGUUCUUAGGUGCUCAGUUUACAAACAGUUAUCCCGAUACAGUUCUGUAGUUUAUCUGUUACUCAGGUCACUUUGGACUUGACCAAAUAUCUGGGUUUCUUUUCCAGACCGUUUCUUAGGAUGGUGUAAAUCACUGGCAGAGCUCAUCUGUUGAGCUUUAUUCAUUUUUUGUUUGGGGGUUUUGGUAGAUGGCUUUUACCUUAUUCUUAAAUUCUGAUGAUCUUACAGGAGCCCCAUAUAUGGAAUUAGAGAAUCUCUGUUUCUUAUUAACUGUUUUAUUGAGAUGUAAUUUAUGUAACAUGAAAUUAACCUGUUUUAAGUGUACAGUUCAGUGGUUUUUAACAUAUUUACAGAGUUCUGCAGCCAUCACCAUAAUGGAAUUAGGCAAUUAUUUUUUUUUCCUGGUAAUUGCCUUUGCUAUUCUCAAAAGUUUGUCUUAGUGAACAUUUUCGAAAUACAAGCUAAGAGCCUCUGAAAAUCUACGCUGAAGUCUUGUUAUACCUUAGCAGGUGAAAUUAGGAGGAGAAUUGAAGCAAAUGUUCCUAGAAGUUGCAGAAUUCAAGAUGAGGAGGAACUAGGAAGGAAGAUUGCAAAGGGGCGCCCAGUGUGUUAGGAAGAAAACCAGGUGAAGCUUCAGCCUUAGAAGACAAGUGAAGAAAGUGUUUUGUAGAAGAAAGGGAAGAAGAAAAGAGACCUGAGCUCUCUUUUCUCUGCCAUGUGAGGACACUGCAAGCAAGGAAGUGGGGACCUACCAGGAAUUGAAUUGACUGGUACCUUGAUCUUGGACUUCCCAGUCUCCAGAAGUGUGAGAAAUAAAUGUCAUUUAAGCCAUCCAGUCUAUGGUAUUUUGUUAGCAGCCCUAGCCUCUUUAGAUGAUACAGUCAGGUU